GUAGGUGGCAAGCGUUGUCCGGAAUUAUUGGGCGUAAAGCGCGCGCAGGCGGUCCUUUAAGUCUGAUGUGAAAGCCCACGGCUCAACCGUGGAGGGUCAUUGGAAACUGGGGGACUUGAGUACAGAAGAGGAAAGCGGAAUUCCAAGUGUAGCGGUGAAGUGCGUAGAGAUUUGGAGGAACACCAGUGGCGAAGGCGGCUUUCUGGUCUGUAACUGACGCUGAGGCGCGAAAGCGUGGGGAGCAAACAGGAUUAGAUACCCUGGUAGUCCACGCCGUAAACGAUGAGUGCUAAGUGUUAGGGGGUUUCCCGCCCCCUUAGUGCUGCAGCUAACGCAUUAAGCACUCCGCCUGGGGAGUACGGCCGCAAGGCUG
This 373-nucleotide ribosomal RNA is filed under the name uncultured organism. Its description in RNAcentral is "partial 16S ribosomal RNA". It matches the Rfam family "Bacterial small subunit ribosomal RNA", at positions 527 to 896 of the family's 1533-position model. The record is from RNAcentral.